RNAcentral lists this unclassified non-coding RNA (343 nucleotides) under soil metagenome. RNAcentral's name for it is "partial contains 5.8S ribosomal RNA, internal transcribed spacer 2, and large subunit ribosomal RNA". The stretch from base 1 to 120 matches the Rfam family "5.8S ribosomal RNA", at positions 35 to 154 of the family's 154-position model. The record is from RNAcentral.
GAUGAAGAACGCAGCGAAAUGCGAUAAGUAAUGUGAAUUGCAGAAUCCAGUGAAUCAUCGAAUCUUUGAACGCACAUUGCGCCCGCCAGCAUUCUGGCGGGCAUGCCUGUUCGAGCGUCAUUUCAACCCUCGACCUCCCCUUGGGGAGGUCGGCGUUGGGGACCGGCAGCACACCGCCGGCCCUGAAAUGGAGUGGCGGCCCGUCUGCGGCGACCUCUGCGUAGUAAUACAGCUCGCACCGGAACCCCGACGCGGCCACGCCGUAAAACUCCCAACUUCUGAACGUUGACCUCGAAUCAGGUAGGACUACCCGCUGAACUUAAGCAUAUCAAUAAGCGGAGGA